UCGGAGAAUAAGGACUGGGCAAGACUGGUGCCAGCCGCCGCGGUAAUCCCAGCGGUCCGAGUCGCAUCCACAAUUAUUGGGUCUAAAACAUUCGUAGCUUGUUUGUUAAGUUCUUUGUGAAAUCUUGACUCUUAAGGUUAAGGCGUGCAAAGAAUACUGAUAAACUUGGGACCGGAAGAAGUAAGAAGUAUGAUCGAGGUAGCGGUAAAAUGUGUUAAUCUUGAUCAGACUAACAACAGCGAAGGCAUCUUACUAGUACGGAUCUGACAGUGAGGAAUGGAGGCUAGGGGCGCAAAGCGGAUUAGAUACCCGCGUAGUCCUAGCAGUAAACACUGCUCACUAAACAUUGGGACCUCCUCGAGAGGUUUCAGUGCCGCAGCGAAGGCGAAGAGUGAGCUACCUGGGAAGUAUAGUCGCAAGACCGAAACUUAAAGGAAUUGGCGGGGGAGCAC
RNAcentral lists this ribosomal RNA (452 nucleotides) under uncultured archaeon. RNAcentral describes it as "bacterial SSU rRNA". It matches the Rfam family "Archaeal small subunit ribosomal RNA", at positions 428 to 879 of the family's 1478-position model. The record is from RNAcentral.